GUUGUUCUUUUCAUUCUCUUUCAUUUUCUUUUUGUUCUUUAAGCCAAGAGAAUGCGUCGAGAAACUGAGAGGAAGGGAAGAGGAAAACGACAGAAAGAACCCAAGCCCACCAAGAAGCCCAAGGGUGAGAAGAAGAACAAAGGAGAGAAGGGUGGGAAGAAGAAAGGCAAGAAGAACAGGGAGGAGACCACCACGAUCACCACCACCACUGUGGCUCCCACAACCACUGUGGUCACUGAGUAUGAUGAGGAGUUUUAUGACCCUGAACCUGAACAGUACUGGGAUGAAGAAUUUCCUGUAGAGACAACAACAGCAGCAAAUCCCACAGUCCCUCCAACAGAGAAAACCACAGAAUUCCCAACAGACUUUCCUCCUGACACGGAUGAGUAUUCCCCACCUUAUCCUGACUCGUACGAUGACUAUUGGAAGGUGGAUGAACCCACACCUACAACCUCUGUGAUCGCCGGCCGUCCACCUGAUGAGGAUGGUGAUUACUGGGAUGCCAGAUAUGAGGUGGCAGAAAACAUGCCUUUCCCUGAUGGCAAAGAGAUCAGCUCUACCGACAAUGACAGGCAUUACACUACCACAGAAGAGCCCACCAUCCCUCCAUUUGAAAACAACUGGUAUGAAGAAUAUGAAUAUGGACAUGGUACAUACUGCUUUGAUACUCUAUUUUAAAAAGAAAACAAACCAAGUGAGACGGCAUGAGAGGUGUUGGCCUCGCUCUCAUCUUAAUGAGGGUACAAACAGAGUGACCUGUCAUUUCUGCACUCAAAUAAACAGUUUCAGAGACACAGAGGUGCCGCUUGAUGUCAGGCUGAAGAUUUUAAGUCAUGUUGCCAUUGGAUGAAAAUGAUAAAUGGAAAUAUUUUUCCAACCAUUUUUCUUGCAGCAUAUCUCCUCCCC
Molecule: long non-coding RNA, 906 nt
Filed under: Sinocyclocheilus grahami
Lineage: Eukaryota; Metazoa; Chordata; Actinopteri; Cypriniformes; Cyprinidae
Description: lncRNA (ENSSGRG00000025338.1)
Source: RNAcentral